RNAcentral lists this ribosomal RNA (425 nucleotides) under uncultured prokaryote. Its description in RNAcentral is "bacterial SSU rRNA". It matches the Rfam family "Bacterial small subunit ribosomal RNA", at positions 355 to 796 of the family's 1533-position model. The record is from RNAcentral.
CAGGGAAUCUUGCGCAAUGGGCGAAAGCCUGACGCAGCGACACCGCGUGAGGGAAGAAGGCCUUCGGGUUGUAAACCUCUUUUAUCAGGGACGAGUAAGGACGGUACCUGAAGAAUAAGGAUCGGCUAACUACGUGCCAGCAGCCGCGGUAAUACGUAGGAUCCGAGCGUUGUCCGGAUUUACUGGGCGUAAAGGGUGCGUAGGCGGCUUGUCAAGUCUUAUGUGAAAUCUCCCGGCUCAACUGGGAGGGGUCAUAGGAAACUGAUGAGCUUGAGGGCAGUAGAGGGAAGCGGAAUUCCGAGAGUAGUGGUGAAAUGCGUAGAUACUCGGAGGAACACCAGUGGCGAAGGCGGCUUCCUGGACUGUACCUGACGCUGAGGCACGAAAGCGUGGGUAGCAAACCGGAUUAGAUACCCCCGUAGUCC